This 973-nucleotide ribosomal RNA is filed under the name Leotiomycetes sp. genotype css044. RNAcentral describes it as "eukaryotic LSU rRNA". The stretch from base 445 to 973 matches the Rfam family "Eukaryotic large subunit ribosomal RNA", at positions 1 to 533 of the family's 3401-position model. Lineage: Eukaryota; Fungi; Ascomycota; Leotiomycetes. The record is from RNAcentral.
CAUUACAGAAGGAUAUCGCCCUCGGGCUUCUCUUCUCACCCUUUGUUUACCACACGUAGUUGCCUUGGCGCUCCGCGCCAGUGGAUCGAAACUCCUGAAUCAUUGCCGUCUGAGUACUAUUCAAUAGUUAAAACUUUCAACAACGGAUCUCUUGGUUCUGGCAUCGAUGAAGAACGCAGCGAAAUGCGAUAAGUAAUGUGAAUUGCAGAAUUCAGUGAAUCAUCGAAUCUUUGAACGCACAUUGCGCCCUCCGGUAUUCCGGGGGGCAUGCCUGUUCGAGCGUCAUUACAACCCUCAAGCUCUGCUUGGUGUUGAGCCCGCCCCGGCCUGCCCGGGGCUCGCUUCAAAGUCAGUGGCGGCCGCCGUCCGACCUUCAGCGCAGUAAUGCUCGCCGCUGUUAGGGAAGGGCAGCAAGGGCCGUCAUACAACCCCCACACACAAGGUUGACCUCGGAUCAGGUAGGGAUACCCGCUGAACUUAAGCAUAUCAAUAAGCGGAGGAAAAGAAACCAACAGGGAUUGCCUCAGUAACGGCGAGUGAAGCGGCAACAGCUCAAAUUUGAAAGCUGGCUCCUUCGGGGCCCGCGUUGUAAUUUGUAGAGGAUGCUUCGGGCGCGGCACCGGUCUAAGUUCUCUGGAACGAGACGUCAUAGAGGGUGAGAAUCCCGUAUGUGACUGGCUGCCUGUGCCCAUGUGAAGCUCCUUCGACGAGUCGAGUUGUUUGGGAAUGCAGCUCAAAAUGGGAGGUGUACUCCUUCUAAAGCUAAAUAUUGGCCAGAGACCGAUAGCGCACAAGUAGAGUGAUCGAAAGAUGAAAAGCACUUUGGAAAGAGAGUUAAACAGUACGUGAAAUUGUUGAAAGGGAAGCGCUUGCAAUCAGACUUGCGCGGCGUCGAUCAGCCUGGGUUCUCCCUGGUGCACUCGGCGCCGCUCAGGCCAGCAUCAGUUUCGGCGGUGGGAUAAAGGCCUAGGGA